Non-coding RNA from Bos taurus (domestic cattle), 73 nucleotides. NCBI's taxonomy places the organism in Eukaryota, Metazoa, Chordata, Mammalia, Artiodactyla, Bovidae. The record is from Rfam.
UCCCUGGCAGUCCAGUUGUUAAGACUUGGUGCUUUCAGUGCCAUGGGCCCAGGUUCAAUCCCUGGUGGGGGAA